CGCAGAGCCGCGCCGCCCCGAGGGACGAUGAUGCCGCGGGCCUGGCGCAGCGCGGGGGCUCGCCCGUUCCUGCUGGCGCUGCUGCUGGUGCAUCUGCCGCCGGGUCGCAGCCACCGAGCCACGGGGCCCCGGUUUUUAAUAAGCGACCGUGACAGAGACCCGCAGUGUAACCUGCAUUGCUCCAGGUCCCAGCCCAAACCCCUGUGUGCCUCUGAUGGCAGAACCUACGAGUCCAUGUGCGACUACCAGAGAGCCAAAUGCCGCGAGCCGAGUCUGAGCGUCACGCAUCGGGGCCGCUGCAAAGAUGCUGGCCAAAGCAAGUGUCGUUUAGAGAGAGCUCAAGCGCUGGAACAGGCAAAGAAGCCCCAGGAAGCAGUCUUCAUCCCAGAAUGCAAUGAGGAUGGAUCAUUCAUGCAGGUGCAGUGCCAUACCUACACGGGAUACUGCUGGUGUGUGACACCUGAUGGCAAACCUAUUAGCGGCUCUUCUGUACAGAACAAAACUCCUGUAUGUUCAGGUUCUGUAACUGAUAAGCCAUCAAGCCAGGGUAAUUCAGGAAGGAAAGUUUCUUUUCGAUUCUUUCUAACCCUCAAUUCAGAUGAUGGUUCGAAACCAACGCCUACCAUGGAAACCCAGCCUAUUUUCGAUGGAGAAGAAAUCACAGCACCCACCCUUUGGAUUAAGCACUUGGUCAUCAAAGAUUCCAAAAUGAACAGCUCCAAUAUAAGGAAUUCAGAAAAAGUUCACUCCUGUGACCAGGAGAGGCAGAGCGCCUUGGAGGAGGCCAGGCAGAACCCCCGGGAGGGAAUCGUCAUCCCUGAGUGUGCUCCUGGAGGACUCUACAAACCAGUGCAAUGCCACCAGUCAACCGGGUACUGCUGGUGUGUCCUGGUGGACACAGGACGUCCCCUGCCUGGUACUUCCACUCGGUAUGAGACCCCAGUGUGUGAAAGCGAUGCCAGAUCGAAGAGCACAGAGAUUGAGGAUCCCUUCAAGGACAGAGAACUUCCAGGCUGCCCAGAAGGGAAGAAAGUUGAAUUUAUUACCAGCUUACUUGAUGCUCUGACUACGGACAUGGUACAGGCUAUUAACUCAGCAGCACCUACUGGGGGUGGGAGGUUCUCUGAGCCAGACCCCAGCCACACACUAGAGGAGCGAGUGGUACACUGGUAUUUCAGCCAGCUGGACAACAACAGCAGCAAUGAUAUCAACAAGCGGGAGCUAAAGCCUUUCAAACGUUACGUGAAGAAGAAAGCCAAGCCGAAGAAAUGUGCCCGGCGUUUCACUGACUACUGUGACCUCAACAAGGACAAGUCAAUCUCACUUCAGGAGCUGAAAGGGUGUUUGGGAGUCAGCAAGGAAGGAGAAGACAAAGUCAGCAUUUUGUGCCUGCCCAAAGAGGAGCUAAGGGAAUAAGCAGCAAAGAAAUGUCCCUCUGCCAGCUGAAGGGAAGUUGCCUCCUGCCAGCUCAGAUCCCGUGAUUGCUUUGCUGUCCAAGAGCUUGUCAGAUGGUAGGUGUUGGGCCUGCUUCACAGGCCAUGAGGACGUCUGAGGUGGAGCCCAGCCACCAAGAGUGCAGUCCAGAAACAGGAUCGAAAUAUCUGAAUUAAAAAGUGUAUGUGUGUGUAAUUAAACAGAAUUUCCCUUUCUGUUGAAUCUGAGGAAAUGUUGCAGAAAGAAUGAAAGGUAGACAGUCUGAACAGCAGAUUUCAUUCAGUGAUGUUUUGGGUCUUUCUUAUUGCUAUCUUCAGAAGUAACUGCGUGCUUGGGAGGCUGGGAAUGAGUUGCUCUAUAUAAUCACUGCACAAACCGCUCACCCCUGCCCUGUGAGCUUCUGCCCAUCUUGUUCCUGCACAGAGCAGCAUGUGCAGUGGAUUACUUGAUGUGUAGAGUGAGCUGUGCAGUCAGGUCAUGUGCAUGCACAAAUCAAAGUCAUAGGCUGGAGUGGAGGGUGGCAACAGGCUUACUGCUGCUGGCUGGGAGCAGGAGCUCCUACUUUCAGCUAAUCCCUCCUCUGAAAUCAGAGGAAGCAGCUCGCAGGAAGUGUGACAUGCUUUCAGCAGCUCCUGUAAUCCCUAAGCUGUCUGUACCCAGUGCAGAGGCCCUUGCCAUGAGCUCCAUCUGGUGUAGGGUGCAUGUGCCUGUUAUCUCACAAAGCAGUCACAGUUCUGCCCUUCUGCCAGGUAUAAGUUCAGGUCUUUGAUUUUAGGCACUUGUUUGUUUGAUUCAAGCAAAAGAUUUAAUAAACCUGGGCUGUCUGUAUUGCCUGUACCCUCACUCUUUUCUGGCUGCUCCCUUUCUACAUGGCAUUAUUUUGCUUGCUUGGGAAAACCUCAUGAUUCUGCUUGCAUCCUUCCUUUCUUUUUUCUCCUUCCACUGUUCGGUUUGUAAUUGUUGUUUCUUGCCCAUGCAAAACCUCUGGAUUUCAUGAUAUUGAACUUCUACAACACAAGGUAGCCUGAGCAGUUUGCCCAAUGGAAAAAGACAAGGUCUUAACCCUUUCAUAGGUCGCCUGGUGUAGCAGCAGAAGACAAGAAGGGAAGGCAGGAGCUGACCCAAAUGAAGAAAAGAUCCAGUGACAGACGGACAGACACCUUGUUGCUUGUGAGCAAGCACACAGCAUCAGCGACAUCCAGUGUAGCAGAAGUGGCACCCAGAACAUUUGCACUUUUAAAAAAUUGGUUUGGGUUUGUUUUCAAUUGCUUUUCAAUGCCAUUAUCUAAUAGUUUGGAAAGUGGAGGGAAAUAGGAUCAUGACUUUUAAAAAUUGGAACAGCUACUGAUGAUGUAAAAUUGAGUUCGCUGGGGACUCAAAGAAUUUUAUAUACUGUAUAUAAAUAUAUAUGUAAAUUGUACAGUUGUCUUGUACAGGGGUUGGAGUCACUGUUUUGUUCCUCCUUUUGCUUUUGAAGGCUGUUAGGGUUAGAGGGACACUUUGAAUUUAAUGAAUUAUAGUAAUGCAUUCAUUUCUGCCACCAAACCAUCAUUCAGUGGCAAACUUUAACAGCACCUCCACGCAGAAAGGAGCCAGUGUAUCAGCAUGAAUUGUUCUUACAGAUGUGCACACAGUGCCCCAGAUAACAAAUGCUUCUUGAGAGCAGCAGAACCUCUUUUCUUACCACAAAGCUCUCUGAAACUCAGGCAAUUGGGCUUUUGAGGGCACAGAUUUCAUGUAAGUAUUGGUGCACUGCAAAGCUGCCUAAAGUAGAGACAGAAAAGGGUUGUAUGAGGGAUGUACAAAAGUAGUUUGUGCACCUGUUGCAAGUUGGGCAGAAAUGAGAUACAAAUGCAUUGCUAUUCAUGCUGAGAUAACAUGCUUAGCAAAGGUGUGCCAUGCCUCUGGAACCUAAAACUGUAGGAAGGAUGUGGGAGCCAUAGGCCCAGUAGAGUCAGUGGAGCGAAGUCUUGCAUCUUCCUCUCUGACAAAGGGUUCAUCUGUAUGUUGUACAACAAUAAACAUUUUGAGAAGCCUGCUAAAGCAGCAUUAGCCUGCCUUGUGCUUUGCUGAAGAGCAAAGAACAUGUCAGUGCAGACAGAGUUGUGCUGCUGGUCCCCAAGGGUCUGCUUUAUUUAUGUUUCAGCAGUACAGCUUGGGCCACGCUCACUGGUGAAGGUCUGUCAGCAGUGACUUUUCUUGUCCUUGGUGGUUGUGAAUCCAGGCUCUUCUCCUGGACAGUGGUGUGCCUGCCCACUUUGCCUGAUUUGCUGUUGCCAGUUCCUCCUGGGUACUGUGACACUGGGGUGUGAUUAGCACUAACAGUGAAGGCUUGGGAUGAGGAGGCUGGUGUUUUUGGAGGCCCCAGGGGCUGUGUCAACCACUAGCAGUUUUACCAAAGUUGUUUCUUUGGCAGGGGUGCCCGUAUCAGCAAUCCUAGAUUUGGGCAGAGUGUGAUGGGACACACAGUGUUUUGCUUGGUGUAUUUCCAACCACUGGCAGCCCUUGCCUGUUCUAAGCAGCCUCCCACUUCAGACCCUAUAUCUGGACCAAGAACCUGUUAGAAUAAACUGUUGUGAAGGUGAUGAAAUGACAUGCUAAUACGAGAUCACACCAACAAUUACUUGAAACAGCAAUAGGUUACUGUAGAGACUGGACUUACCCCUCAAGGCUCUGUUGCUUUGGUAACAAAUGAUACAACACGGCAUCUUCACACUGUCAUGUCAUCAUGACAAUAGCAUGAGAUAAAUAUAUCACCAAAAAAAUAGUAUCCUGAUACAGUAAGUUAGUGCUUGUUGACAAAAUGGGAAGUUAAAUAAAAGAAAAACUAACAAGCCUUUCUAUAAAUAACUGUUUAAGGGUAGUAAUAACUCUUCCUCUAGGAAGUAUAUUGGAGCUAAUUAAAACAUAUGGCAUGGUUGAAAACACCUCUGGUAAUACCUGAAAUAUACACCAUACCAUUAUAAAAUAAAGAAGUCUUCUCUUCAGCAAGAGCAGAUCCUGCUGCUGGAUCUUCAUGGUUUCUCACAUGGAAUGUAUAUGCAUUUUCGGCCUGCAAGCUCCCACCUUCUUCUCUUUUUGUUCUUUGUUUUUGUUUUUCCUUUAAUGCCCUGGGCACAUCUUUUGUGUGUUGAAAUAACUUGGUUUAGUGUAUAGUUAGAAAUGUCUAUGUCACACUCACUAAUCCUAUUGUAGGGAGUAAAGAAUGAAAUCAACUGUAUAAAAAAACCCCUCUCCAUUUUAAUAUUCUAGUUUUAGGAAUUAAAAGUUCUGGCUGCUGGGUUGGUUGGUAUUUGGUGGUUUGGGGUUUUGGGGAUUUUUUUGGGGGUGGGGUUUUUCUUUGUUUGGUUGGGGGAUUUUUUAAUGUAUAGUUAUAUCCAGCAGAAACAGACAAUUGGAUGCCUCUAGGAAUUCUAUCAGCCAAGCACUGGGGCUGGGCAAUGCCCCACAGAUUGUGGGGAGACUGCAGAGCUGCUACAACUCACUGCGUCUUCUGGAAAUAAACAAGCCACCACUUCUGCUUGUUACAUAAAUCCAUCUGCUGACCUCCUUUUUCUCAUCCUUGUGUCCUUCCCCUCCAAAAGGCCUGCAUUUAUGUGUGGUUUAUAUCUAAAAUUGGGUCAGUUCUUUAAGAAAGACAAACAAAGGGUGGCUGUUGGUUAACUUUGGUAUUUGUGGGUAUUCCUGUUGCUAGGCCAGGGCUGACUUUAUGGAUGGAUUAGGGACCAGGCAUUACACUGCUUUCCCUAAAACAAGACAAUUCCAAGUCGUGCAUCCUGACUUGCUGAAUUUGUGUGGGUCUCUGAGCAGCUUCUGGCAGCACUUGUGCAUUGCCAUGGAAGGCCCAACCAGCAUGAUUGUGUAAUGUCCAGGCAGAGGUCAGGUUACUUGUUCUGGGUUUGUGUCAGAGGAUUGUGCAGACCAUGCUGGUCCUGAUUGACAUAGCCCAUGCUAUGAGCAUGCUGUGAGUCCAACAACCUGUACUCAUCAGAUGAGUGCAGUGCCUCAGCUGCCCAUUUCCCCUCUUGGUUUUAUUGCCAGUUCACCUGGCUGCUAGGCCAAAUUGUCCUUGUCUGGUGGUUGUAAGCAAUCUUCUGCUCUACCUUGCAUCAGUAGCAUCUUUCUGAAGCUGAGACAAAGGGAGUGUCAGUGUUGUGUCUGAAAGCAGACCCUGGGCAUGUUCUCCUCAUCCUUCAAGUCCUCCUGGGCCUCUCCAGCUCUACUUUGUAUGAUGGCUGAAAACAGCUGGGACAGAGAAGAGAACCAGGACUAACAGCACACAUCAUCUGUUCAUCCUGCCAGAAGUAAAAAAUCUUUCCUUCCUUGCCGAUUUUCCAAGGACAUAGUGUGUUGUAAAAGUGCAUUACAGUGGGAUUCAUUUGCGUGAAGGCACUGCUUUCCAUAGCCUGAGUUUAUAUUGAACUUACCCUCCCCAUUAGGCACAUUUCUGCCUAUGGCAAAUUUGUUAAACUGAAAGGCAUCUGUUUGGUUUUGUAAUAAAAUAGAUAACUUUUGCUCCAGUA
RNA transcript from Catharus ustulatus (Swainson's thrush), 5957 nucleotides. It is a transcript of the gene named SPARC related modular calcium binding 1, with no coding region annotated. The record is from RefSeq and is a predicted model, not a curated record. NCBI's taxonomy places the organism in Eukaryota, Metazoa, Chordata, Aves, Passeriformes, Turdidae. The transcript is spliced from 14 exons.